This 260-nucleotide unclassified non-coding RNA is filed under the name uncultured fungus. RNAcentral's name for it is "sequence contains ITS1". The record is from RNAcentral. Lineage: Eukaryota; Fungi.
GUAUAGAUUUACUGACUCGAAAGUCAAUAAGAGACAUUCUGUGACUUCAAAUAGUGUGUAUAAAAACAUAGCCUUUGAAGAGCAAACAGGGAAAAGGGCAAAGCCCAAGCCCCAAAACCGCAUUGACUGCGAAGCACUUCAAAGACUACAAAAGGUGCACAAGAGAUAGAUAAAUAAUAUGAUGCAAGCACAUGCCCAAUAAGGCCAGCUCAACACCAAGUUAUUCAAUAAUGAUCCUUCCGCAGGUUCACCUACGGAAA